GACGAACGCUGGCGGCGUGCUUAACACAUGCAAGUCGUACGGUAAGGCCCUUUCGGGGGUACACGAGUGGCGAACGGGUGAGUAACACGUGAGUAACCUGCCCACAACUUUGGGAUAACGCUAGGAAACUGGUGCUAAUACUGGAUAUGUGCCCCUGCUGCAUGGUGGGGGUUGGAAAGCUCCGGCGGUUGUGGAUGGACUCGCGGCCUAUCAGCUUGUUGGUGGGGUAGUGGCCUACCAAGGCGGCGACGGGUAGCCGGCCUGAGAGGGUGACCGGCCACAUUGGGACUGAGAUACGGCCCAGACUCCUACGGGAGGCAGCAGUGGGGAAUAUUGCACAAUGGGCGCAAGCCUGAUGCAGCAACGCCGCGUGCGGGAUGACGGCCUUCGGGUUGUAAACCGCCUUCAGCAGGGACGAAGCUUUUUGUGACGGUACCUGCAGAAGAAGCACCGGCUAACUACGUG
Molecule: ribosomal RNA, 465 nt
Filed under: uncultured bacterium
Lineage: Bacteria
Description: partial 16S ribosomal RNA
Rfam family: Bacterial small subunit ribosomal RNA
Source: RNAcentral